Molecule: long non-coding RNA, 607 nt
Organism: Xenia sp. Carnegie-2017
Lineage: Eukaryota; Metazoa; Cnidaria; Anthozoa; Malacalcyonacea; Xeniidae
Exons: 3
Source: RefSeq, a predicted model, not a curated record
CGUUUGAUUUGCAUUUCGAAAGAAAGAAGUUUCGUUCAAAAAUUCACGAUGAAACAAAGCAAUGCUGGUGUUAAAAAUCUUGCAUGAAAUUCUAACUGCCAACCCCUCCGAGGCCUGAAAAUGAUGAACAAAGCAAUAUCAGGAGAGACUUCAACCGACAAAGCCUACUAGCUGAAGUUGGCUAACGAUCUAACAGUUGGAAUGCCUUGUUCGAGUAGUGGCGAAUGCAAAGCUGUGCUUGGUGGCAACCGUCCCUCAAGACACUCUACAACAACGCUCUGACUAUACUCCUCUUGAUGAAACCGAGCAGCCAUGCUCUGUUGGAGAGCAAGCAAGAUAAUAUUUGAGGUCAACAUGGCAGAAGCUUGACAUGACAAACUCUUCAAACAACCAAUAGACUGAGCCGAGAAAGGGGGCUGAGAGGAAAGAUUCAAAGAAGAAGAAAGGUGGUGGUAUUUUCAUUCGAAGCAGCUUUAAGCGUCGAUCCAGCGGACAUAAUUCAGAGAUAAUGGCUUACGAUAUACAAUUGUGUGAAAAUGACAGGAUGGAAUUGAUGAGGAAUAAAAAAAUAAGGAAAUAACAUCGGAGGAAGCAUGGGAUCAAUUGA